GAUAUAAUAGGAUGAGUUUUAUUUUUAAUUAAAUAUUACUUCAUAUUUUUAUUAUAUCAUCAUCGAAAAGAUUAUAUUUUGGUCAUUUAUUUGUCUAGUAUAAGAUUUUCGUCAUUUACUGUGAGUAAAAUAGAGUGUUCAAAGCAGGCUUAAGCUGUUGAAUAUAUUAGCAUGGAAUAAUAACAUAAGACCUUGGUCUUAAUAUUUUGUUGGUUUAUUUAUCAAGGUA
Molecule: ribosomal RNA, 229 nt
Filed under: uncultured fungus
Lineage: Eukaryota; Fungi
Description: partial small subunit ribosomal RNA
Source: RNAcentral